CCACGGCCUCUAAAUGAUUGGUGACUUUUAUCUUCAUUGUUGAAUGUGUUGAUAUAACUUCUUCCUCUUCCACGACCUCCACGACCACCGUGGCCUCGCCAUUUUCCAUUUCCUUUGUAACUUUUUUCACCUUCAAAUCUUUUGAAAGAUGCCUGAGUUUUAAGAAGUUCCUCUAGUGGCUCUUUUUUUCUCCUUUUAAUCUUUUCUUCGUGGGCUUAUAAAGAUUCUUCCAAUUUCUCUACUGUCAUAAAGUCUAAAUCUUUAGACUCCUCA
This 273-nucleotide long non-coding RNA is filed under the name Solanum tuberosum (potato). RNAcentral describes it as "long non-coding RNA (STUB_LNC005779)". Lineage: Eukaryota; Viridiplantae; Streptophyta; Magnoliopsida; Solanales; Solanaceae. The record is from RNAcentral.